CAUCCUCCAAGGCUAAAUACUCCUGACUGACCGAUAGUGAACCAGUACCGUGAGGGAAAGGCGAAAAGAACCCCGGCGAGGGGAGUGAAAAAGAACCUGAAACCGUGUACGUACAAGCAGUGGGAGCCCCACCACUAAGCCAGUGGUGAAGUCCACAUACGCAUCCUUUGCUGAGGAUACGGUUAACGGAGCGAAAGCGACGUUCAACCGCAAAAAAAGAAGCAGAGGGGGCUUAGUGGUGGGGUGACUGCGUACCUUUUGUAUAAUGGGUCAGCGACUUAUAUUCUGUAGCAAGGUUAACCGAAUAGGGGAGCCGGAGGGAAACCGAGUCUUAAUUGGGCGUUAAGUUGCAGGGUAUAGACCCGAAACC
Molecule: ribosomal RNA, 370 nt
Filed under: Salmonella enterica
Lineage: Bacteria; Pseudomonadati; Pseudomonadota; Gammaproteobacteria; Enterobacterales; Enterobacteriaceae
Description: bacterial LSU rRNA
Rfam family: Bacterial large subunit ribosomal RNA
Source: RNAcentral